RNAcentral lists this ribosomal RNA (224 nucleotides) under uncultured bacterium. Its description in RNAcentral is "partial 16S ribosomal RNA". It matches the Rfam family "Bacterial small subunit ribosomal RNA", at positions 16 to 231 of the family's 1533-position model. The record is from RNAcentral.
AUCAUGGCUCAGGAUGAACGCUAGCUACAGGCUUAACACAUGCAAGUCGAGGGGCAGCGGGAUUGAAGCUUGCUUCAAUUGCCGGCGACCGGCGCACGGGUGAGUAACGCGUAUCCAACCUUCCGUACACUCAGGGAUAGCCUUUCGAAAGAAAGAUUAAUACCUGAUGGUAUGAUGAGAUUGCAUGAUAGCAUCAUUAAAGAUUUAUCGGUGUACGAGUGGGG